GACCAUUUCUUUGAUGAACAGCCUGGGAGCUCUGGCCGAUUUCUGGGAUCGGAAGGAUUCCGACUCGCCGGAAACGAACUCAUCUUCGGAUUCCAUGUCUAACACUGAAACUCAGCUCAGGAUCCCGUGUAAGCUCCACUUCAGUUCAACGGGCAACAAAUGUCUGAAAUGAACAACCUAGAAGCCGGCUCUCGGUCUUGUGGAUCCAAUUUCUCUUCCAC
Molecule: long non-coding RNA, 221 nt
Filed under: Linum usitatissimum (flax)
Lineage: Eukaryota; Viridiplantae; Streptophyta; Magnoliopsida; Malpighiales; Linaceae
Description: long non-coding RNA (LUSI_LNC000274)
Source: RNAcentral